Molecule: long non-coding RNA, 332 nt
Filed under: Malus domestica (apple)
Lineage: Eukaryota; Viridiplantae; Streptophyta; Magnoliopsida; Rosales; Rosaceae
Description: long non-coding RNA (MDOM_LNC001733)
Source: RNAcentral
GAUUAUGAACCUUUGUUUAGAUUCAACACGAGCCUAGUGUUGAAUCUCGGUCUAGGGAUGGUGAUUGAUUUUAGUUACGCGUUUAAUCACAUUAAGGAGUGUUGUCUUAGGGGCGUGGGACCCUCUACUCCAUUUUCAUGCAUAUCAAAUAAUGCAAGAAAGGAGUACUUCAAAGUAAAGAUGAGCUUAUGCUCUUUACAACAUUUGAAUAAAACAAAUUACUUUAAAGUAAAGAAGAGCUUAUGCUCUUUUACAACAUUUGAUCAAAUCAAAUUACAACAAAAAUCUAAUCUACACAUUCCCAUGGUUCAAACAAAUUUGAAACGGCCUUU